GAUGAACGCUGGCGGCGUGCCUAAUACAUGCAAGUCGAGCGAACGGACGCGAAGCUUGCUUCUCUGAUGUUAGCGGCGGACGGGUGAGUAACACGUGGAUAACCUACCUAUAAGACUGGGAUCACUUCGGGAAACCGGAGCUAAUACCGGAUAAUAUUUUGAACCGCAUGGUUCAAAAGUGAAAGACGGUCUUGCUGUCACUUAUAGAUGGAUCCGCGCUGCAUUAGCUAGCUGGUAAUGUAACGGCUUACGAAGGCAACGAUGCAUAACCGACCUGCGGGGGGGAUCGGGCACAGUGGAGGUGAGACACGGUCCAGGGUCCUACGGGAGGCAGCAGUAGGGAAUGGUCCGCGAUGGGCGAAAGCCUGACGGAGCAACGGAGGGUUAGUGAUGAAGCGCCGCGGAUCGGAAAACGCUGUUAGUAGGGAAGAACAUAUGUGUAAGUAACUGUGCACAUCUUGACGGUACCGAAGCAGAAAGCCACGGCUAACUACGU
This 496-nucleotide ribosomal RNA is filed under the name uncultured bacterium. RNAcentral's name for it is "partial 16S ribosomal RNA". It matches the Rfam family "Bacterial small subunit ribosomal RNA", at positions 28 to 506 of the family's 1533-position model. The record is from RNAcentral.